UCCAUCACUUAAACACUUAUUCUAUCAGAGCUGCUGGAGAGGCAAGGAUCAAGGACCUCAGGAGAGAUAGGAAAGUCUCCAACAGUCAAUAUCAAAUAUUUGAGAUCAUCAUCUUAUAUGGAUAGGUUUUGUGGUACCCCAAAAGAAUUACAGCAGUAACAUCAAAGAUCACCAUAAAAGAUAAAAUAAUCAUUGAAAACUUGUAGGAAUUACCAAAAUAGGACACAGAGACACCACGCCGUUGGGAGAUGGCACCCAAAAAGACCUGCUUGAACACUUGUUGCAAACCUUCAAUUUGUUAAAAAGAAAAAUGAUAUAUAGCGACAGCCAUGAUAAGGACCUGUAUUGCUUUGGAGGCAGCCCUUGACUGCAAUCUGAAUAACUGCCAACUCCUUGAGGGUCAAGUCGUUUUAUCCCCUUGUCUUUAAAUAUCUAGAACAGUGUUUUGCAAAUAAUCAGUGAUUAAUAAAUACUUAUUGGUUGUAUUAGGUUGAACUGUGCCAGAUUAAAAUGGUGAUAAGAA
Monodelphis domestica (gray short-tailed opossum) is the source of this 523-nucleotide long non-coding RNA. RefSeq lists it as uncharacterized. Lineage: Eukaryota; Metazoa; Chordata; Mammalia; Didelphimorphia; Didelphidae. The record is from RefSeq and is a predicted model, not a curated record.